Molecule: ribosomal RNA, 497 nt
Filed under: uncultured bacterium
Lineage: Bacteria
Description: partial 16S ribosomal RNA
Rfam family: Bacterial small subunit ribosomal RNA
Source: RNAcentral
GAUGAACGCUGGCGGCGUGUCUAAUACAUGCAAGUCGAGCGAACGGACGAGAAGCUUGCUUCUCUGAUGUUAGCGGCGGACGGGUGAGUAACACGUGGAUAACCUACCUAUAAGACUGGGAUAACUUCGGGAAACCGGAGCUAAUACCGGAUAAUAUUUUGAACCGCAUGGUUCAAAAGUGAAAGACGGUCUUGCUGUCACUUAUAGAUGGAUCCGCGCUGCAUUAGCUAGUUGGUAAGGUAGCGGCUUACCAAGGCAACGAUGCAUAGCCGACCUGAGAGGGUGAUCGGCCACACUGGAACUGAGACACGGUCCAGACUCCUACGGGAGGCAGCAGUAGGGAAUCUUCCGCAAUGGGCGAAAGCCUGACGGAGCAACGCCGCGUGAGUGAUGAAGGUCUUCGGAUCGUAAAACUCUGUUAUUAGGGAAGAACAUAUGUGUAAGUAACUGUGCACAUCUUGACGGUACCUAAUCAGAAAGCCACGGCUAACUACGUG